RNAcentral lists this long non-coding RNA (409 nucleotides) under Sinocyclocheilus anshuiensis. RNAcentral describes it as "lncRNA (ENSSANG00000004200.1)". The record is from RNAcentral. Lineage: Eukaryota; Metazoa; Chordata; Actinopteri; Cypriniformes; Cyprinidae.
AUUCAUUUCCUCUUUCCUCUUAUCUUCUCUUCUCUUCUCUUGUAGGGCAAACCUGGUGUUGAUGGGAAACGUGGAGUAGCUGGAAAAGAUGUAAGUGUAAUAUGUAGUUCUAAAUGGCUUUGAACUUAUUUAUAAAAUCAAACCACUGUUUUUUCCAGGGAGAACAAGGACAAAAGGGUGAUGAAGGGACAAAGGGUGAAAAAGGUGAACCUGGUGCAAAUGGAAAUGAAGGUAAAAAAGGAGAGCCAGGAUCUCCAGGCUUGCCAGGUCCUCCUAUUGUUCUCCAAGAGGGUAUGUCAAUUGAGGACAUUAAAAAGGCAUUUCCCAUACCAAUGGGACCCCCUGGUGUGGUGGGUCCUCCUGGGAUGAAGGGAGAGAAAGGAGACAUGGGUUUGAAAGGAGAGAAGGU